CGUGCCUAAUACAUGCAAGUCGAACGAGUUCUCGUUGAUGAUCGGUGCUUGCACCGAGAUUCAACAUGGAACGAGUGGCGGACGGGUGAGUAACACGUGGGUAACCUGCCCUUAAGUGGGGGAUAACAUUUGGAAACAGAUGCUAAUACCGCAUAGAUCCAAGAACCGCAUGGUUCUUGGCUGAAAGAUGGCGUAAGCUAUCGCUUUUGGAUGGACCCGCGGCGUAUUAGCUAGUUGGUGAGGUAAUGGCUCACCAAGGCGAUGAUACGUAGCCGAACUGAGAGGUUGAUCGGCCACAUUGGGACUGAGACACGGCCCAAACUCCUACGGGAGGCAGCAGUAGGGAAUCUUCCACAAUGGACGCAAGUCUGAUGGAGCAACGCCGCGUGAGUGAAGAAGGCUUUCGGGUCGUAAAACUCUGUUGUUGGAGAAGAAUGGUCGGCAGAGUAACUGUUGUCGGCGUGACGGUAUCCAACCAGAAAGCCACGGCUAACUACGUGCCAGCAGCCGCGGUAAUACGUAGGUGGCAAGCGUUAUCCGGAUUUAUUGGGCGUAAAGCGAGCGCAGGCGGUUUUUUAAGUCUGAUGUGAAAGCCCUCGGCUUAACCGAGGAAGCGCAUCGGAAACUGGGAAACUUGAGUGCAGAAGAGGACAGUGGAACUCCAUGUGUAGCGGUGAAAUGCGUAGAUAUAUGGAAGAACACCAGUGGCGAAGGCGGCUGUCUGGUCUGUAACUGACGCUGAGGCUCGAAAGCAUGGGUAGCGAACAGGAUUAGAUACCCUGGUAGUCCAUGCCGUAAACGAUGAAUGCUAGGUGUUGGAGGGUUUCCGCCCUUCAGUGCCGCAGCUAACGCAUUAAGCAUUCCGCCUGGGGAGUACGACCGCAAGGUUGAAACUCAAAGGAAUUGACGGGGGCCCGCACAAGCGGUGGAGCAUGUGGUUUAAUUCGAAGCAACGCGAAGAACCUUACCAGGUCUUGACAUCUUUUGAUCACCUGAGAGAUCAGGUUUCCCCUUCGGGGGCAAAAUGACAGGUGGUGCAUGGUUGUCGUCAGCUCGUGUCGUGAGAUGUUGGGUUAAGUCCCGCAACGAGCGCAACCCUUAUGACUAGUUGCCAGCAUUUAGUUGGGCACUCUAGUAAGACUGCCGGUGACAAACCGGAGGAAGGUGGGGAUGACGUCAAAUCAUCAUGCCCCUUAUGACCUGGGCUACACACGUGCUACAAUGGAUGGUACAACGAGUUGCGAGACCGCGAGGUCAAGCUAAUCUCUUAAAGCCAUUCUCAGUUCGGACUGUAGGCUGCAACUCGCCUACACGAAGUCGGAAUCGCUAGUAAUCGCGGAUCAGCACGCCGCGGUGAAUACGUUCCCGGGCCUUGUACACACCGCCCGUCACACCAUGAGAGUUUGUAACACCCGAAGCCGGUGGCGUAACCCUUUUAGGGAGCGAGCCGUCUAAGGU
Molecule: ribosomal RNA, 1458 nt
Filed under: Lacticaseibacillus paracasei
Lineage: Bacteria; Bacillati; Bacillota; Bacilli; Lactobacillales; Lactobacillaceae
Description: bacterial SSU rRNA
Rfam family: Bacterial small subunit ribosomal RNA
Source: RNAcentral